AUGCAAAGUUCAUGUAUGCAUUUUACAUGCAUCAAUGGGCCAACCGGCAGAAGAUGUCGGAUGGGCUGGCCCGCGACGGACGACGAACUAACCAGAUGUCGGCAUGGGGCGGAGAUUGCCAAAGGGCCGGAUGUCGGCCUGUCCGGGAUACGCAAAUGUCGGUCCGCCUGGGAUGAAGCCACCUCGGCCCGUUCCGAGGUCAAGGAGUCUCGGCCCCAUAAUGUGGAGCUCGGCCUAUUGCGUGACUCGGUAAGUCACACCCGGCCCAAAACCGAGGUCUGCGCGGGGGAGGGAAGGAACACCAGGUUGCGGGAGAAGCCGGCCCAAAACCGGGAUCUGGGAAAUGCCGGUCAAACUGGCCCGUCAGGAGCCCAAAACCGGGAUCUCGAAGAGGUGAUGCUGGCCCGCUCCGAGUUAGGAGCUGAUGUCGGCCCAAACCGAGAUAGCGGACACCUACAUAGGUGUAUGUCGGCCCAGAACAGGGUAUUCCGGCCUGGGUCACGCCAAUCUCGGCCCAGGCUGAUUUCUUUUGCUUUUCUCUUAUCUUUUAGUUGUUUAUCCACUUUUUCUCUCUUCUACUAA
Molecule: ribosomal RNA, 582 nt
Filed under: Triticum aestivum (bread wheat)
Lineage: Eukaryota; Viridiplantae; Streptophyta; Magnoliopsida; Poales; Poaceae
Description: partial small subunit ribosomal RNA
Source: RNAcentral